RNAcentral lists this ribosomal RNA (756 nucleotides) under uncultured bacterium. RNAcentral's name for it is "bacterial SSU rRNA". It matches the Rfam family "Bacterial small subunit ribosomal RNA", at positions 8 to 796 of the family's 1533-position model. The record is from RNAcentral.
AGAGUUUGAUCCUGGCUCAGAAUCAACGCUGGCGGCGCGCUUAACACAUGCAAGUCGCACGAGAAAGUGGAGCAAUCCAUGAGUAAAGUGGCGCACGGGUGAGUAACACGUGGAUCAUCUACCUUUUAGUGGGGAAUACCCCUGGGAAACCGGGGAUAAUACCGCAUAAUCUCGCGAGAGGAAAGCCGAAAGGCGCUGAAAGAGGAGUCCGCGGCUGAUUAGCUAGUUGGUGAGGUAAUGGCUCACCAAGGCGAAGAUCGGUAGCCGGCCUGAGAGGGCACACGGCCACACUGGCACUGAAACACGGGCCAGACUCCUACGGGAGGCAGCAGUGGGGAAUCUUGCACAAUGGAGGAAACUCUGAUGCAGCGACGCCGCGUGAGCGAUGAAGCCCUUCGGGGUGUAAAGCUCUUUCGACGGGAACGAUAAUGACGGUACCCGAAGAAGAAGCUGCGGCUAACUACGUGCCAGCAGCCGCGGUAAUACGUAGGCAGCAAGCGUUGUUCGGAAUUACUGGGCGUAAAGAGUGUGUAGGCGGUGUUCCAAGUCUGGUGUGAAAUCUCCCGGCUCAACUGGGAGGGUGCGCCGGAAACUGGAAUGCUCGAGUGUGGGAGAGGUAAGCGGAAUUCCUGGUGUAGCGGUGAAAUGCGUAGAUAUCAGGAGGAACACCUGUGGUGUAGACAGCUUACUGGACCACGACUGACGCUGAGACACGAAAGCGUGGGUAGCAAACAGGAUUAGAUACCCCCGUAGUCC